RNAcentral lists this ribosomal RNA (467 nucleotides) under uncultured bacterium. RNAcentral's name for it is "partial 16S ribosomal RNA". The stretch from base 57 to 467 matches the Rfam family "Bacterial small subunit ribosomal RNA", at positions 39 to 507 of the family's 1533-position model. The record is from RNAcentral.
GGGGGGGGGGGGGGGGGGGGGGGGGCGGGGAGGGGGAGCGGGGGGGCGCGGGGGGGGGGGGGUGGGGGAGUGGCGAACGGGGGAGGGACAAGUGAGUAAGCUGGCCGUUGCUUUGGGAUCACUUCAGGAAACUGGGGCUAAUACCGGAUAGGAGCCGCGGCUGCAUGGGGGGGGGUGGAAGGGUUCGUCGGUUGGGGAUGGACGCGCGGCUUAUCAGCUUGUGGGUGGGGUAGUGGUCUGCCAAGGCUUUGACGGGUAGCCGGCCUGAGAGGGUGACCGGCCACAUUGGGACUGAGAUACGGCCCAGACUCCUACGGGAGGCAGCAGUGGGGAAUAUUGCACAAUGGGCGGAAGCCUGAUGCAGCAACGCCGCGUGCGGGAUGACGGCCUUCGGGUUGUAAACCGCUUUCGCCUGUGACGAAGCGUGAGUGACGGUAAUGGGUAAAGAAGCACCGGCUAACUACGUG